This 377-nucleotide ribosomal RNA is filed under the name uncultured bacterium. RNAcentral's name for it is "bacterial SSU rRNA". It matches the Rfam family "Bacterial small subunit ribosomal RNA", at positions 30 to 408 of the family's 1533-position model. The record is from RNAcentral.
AUUGAACGCUGGCGGCAUGCCUUACACAUGCAAGUCGAACGGCAGCACGGGGGCAAUCCUGGUGGCGAGUGGCGAACGGUGAGUAAUAUAUCGGAACGUGCCCAGUCGUGGGGGAUAACGUAGCGAAAGCUACGCUAAUACCGCAUACGAUCUAUGGAUGAAAGCGGGGGAUCGCAAGACCUCGCGCGAUUGGAGCGGCCGAUAUCAGAUUAGGUAGUUGGUGAGGUAAAGGCUCACCAAGCCGACGAUCUGUAGCUGGUCUGAGAGGACGACCAGCCGCACUGGGACUGAGACACGGCCCAGACUCCUACGGGAGGCAGCAGUGGGGAAUUUUGGACAAUGGGCGCAAGCCUGAUCCAGCAAUGCCGCGUGCAGGA